Molecule: long non-coding RNA, 2794 nt
Organism: Brassica rapa (field mustard)
Lineage: Eukaryota; Viridiplantae; Streptophyta; Magnoliopsida; Brassicales; Brassicaceae
Source: RefSeq, a predicted model, not a curated record
AUCUGAGUUAGAAGAAAUGAACAAAAAAAUAUCUUCAAGGCUCUCUAAAAUAUCAGUAUGUUUGUGAGAGAGGGAGAUAGAUCGAAGGAAAUAUAAGAGCAACGAAAUUAAAAAUAUACAUUUAAAUUGUUAUUGUUAACGUUAAUUAGUUUUGUGAUUAAUAGUUUGGUGAGAUGCGUUUAUCUUGAACUGGUUUCCAAAGCCUUUCAGAUGAAUUAAAAUGUAAUCUAAUUCGCCUAACUAAUCUAUCUUGAAGUUGUUGUCAUAGCAAAGUAGAGUUUGGAGAGAAGAGUGGAUUCAAAGAUUCUAAAGAUUGUCUCAAUCCUCACCUAAAGAAAGGCCCAUAGAAACAAAAAAAUUGUGCAAGCACCAUCUUACUAGUUACAUUUAUACUUCAACACUUUUAGAAGCAUACUUCAUUUCAUUUUCACUGUCCACAUUGUUUCCUACUUGUAUACACCAAAGUAUAUAUUCUAUCCUUUUAUAUUUUCUAACCAUGGAUUAUAACGUUUUAAGAAUUUGUUUGCUUCCUAAACACAACUUUUUAGUUAUUCAAAAUUAUGAUCAAAAGUGAAUUUUAUGUUUUGUGCAUGUUCCAGUAAAACCAUGGGUAUGAAUGGUAACCAGGAAAUGGCGAGGAAUAAUACAUUCUCUAACGUUCAUGAAUAAAAUCACCAUUCACAAGGAAUAAUAAUUCCCUCUCAUUCAUUUUCAUUCUUUUUUUGUAGUUAAUUAAAGAACAAAAGUAUUCCUUGUUAAAAUUGAUAAGGAACAAACGUUCCUUUGUGAAAGCACCAUGGCCUAAUGGUCAAGAUUUAAAGGCUUCUACACUCAGGUCUGGGGUUCAAAUCCCAGACAAUGCAAUUUCUACAGGAAGAGGUCUGGGUUUCAAUUCCCGGAAAGGCGAAUUAUGCAGAAAAUUAGAAAAAAUGCUUACAACAGAUCUUAGUAUGGCUCAAGGAGUACCGUCAAUAAUGGAUCUCGUAGGGCUACUCAGGGUGAUGCAGUCAGGCGUGAAUCCUCAUAAGACAGGUAGAAUUGUCGGCUAUAAUAUCGUCUAUAUAAUGGUUCUCAUAAUUUGUAAUAGCAUAAUUAACCAGACAAAAAAAAAGGAACAAACGUUCCUUUUCAUUCCUGCUAUUUUAUUCCCGAACAUUCAUUUUUUAUAUGUUCCUUUUGUUUCCCGAAUGGUCACCAGUCAAACCCCAUGUCUCAGUAUCAUUCACGUAUUCAAAAUAAGUUUAUAGAUAAUGCAGAGUAGUAACUUAACAAAAUUCGAUCGUGGAUUGAUUUGUAUGCAUGAUAAAUACCUUUUUUUGGUUUAGAGUAUGCUUAAUGGCAGGAAGCCUCAGGUUUUGCAUUUUUUUAUUGAGAUUAGAUUAGUGAUUAGUCACAUCCCCUGUUCGGAACUAUAAUUAGUAGUAGUCGAGCGGCAAUUCUUGACCUAGCGAGUUACAGAAAAAUUAGGGAGUACUAGGAAAAUACGCGGAGUCUAAUUUUAAAUACAAUUUAAUAUACUUAUAAUAUGUUUAGCUAAUUUUAAACAUGAUGAAACAAGUUCUUAGAUAUAACUGUAUAACUUUUUAUAUAUAUUUUUAAACAGCCUCAUUUUGAUUUGUCGAACAUUUAGAUUACGGUGUGUUUGGUACAAAAAAAAUUCCUAAAUUUAGUAUGUAUGUGUUUAUUUUGGGUUUGAUAGCUAAUUGUAAUUAUUUAGUAAUUAAUAAUUACACAAAAUCUGUCAAUAAUGAGUAAAAAAUAAUCAAUUGUGUUUCAACUUUACACGGACAAAAAAAAUUUAGACGGUCAACUCAGAAAUUAGGCGGGAAUUAAGCGGUCAACACGGAAAUUAAGCGGUCGUACGCGGAUCAACACCUUGCUUUACCGAUUUGUCAUAUUCACUGUGGUUAACGUCUGAACAGCGUCUAGACGGUCGCGUUUUCGAACAGGUCACACCAACACUUUAACUAUUUAAGACUAGACUAAUCUUUCGUUUCUGUAACAAUCAGUGCGUCUACCGCGUGUUGACGGUGAAGCAUCCUUGUUCGUUAAGAGAAACAUAAACAUAUAUUUUUCACUUGAAAAGGUGAUGGAAAAUAAGAGGACAAGUAUGAUCAACUCAAAAUGAUGCAUGAAGCUUUCUCUUUGAGAAAAGUAAAGGCUAACAAAGCUUCUGAUGGCUUGUGUACCGCCGUCUUAUUGAAGUAUAUCGCGCGCGCACACGCGCACACACACAAAAGGAGAGCAUAAUCUCAAUACAAGAUUGCAAGUGAUUUAGUGUGAUGAAGGGCUAAGAACUCCUUUUAAAAAAGGUUAAAUGGGUGAUUGAGAACAUAAAGCCUGUUUUGAAAGCCAUCUAAUUAUAUAAAGAAUUGUUUGAGUCUCUCCCGCAUUGUCCACGUGGAAAGUCUUUUGUUAUAGACUUGACGCGUGUCCAUAAGACAAACCGCAUCAUUUCAUUAAACUUCAGCAUUCUCGGUUUUGUUCUUUAGUGUGUUCAUGGGCUUUGAGAUUAGAAGUGUUUCCGGCCCAACGAUAAUAAGCUCCGUCUAUCCCUAAUACGACUGCAGCGAGAAAACAAAAUUCAUCGCUCCUCUUCGUGCGACGGCUAGGGUGACUUUUUCGAUUCUUCUCCCGACCUGCAACGGUUUGAUUAAUGGCUUCGUGUUAAAUCCUAUUGACUCUCCUCCACGAUUCGUCAUCAAUGCUUUGCUUAGAUCUGAAAGGCGGUGUGUAAACAGUAUAAAUAGAUGUGAGUAUUUCUCUUCUUGAACUCAUCUUCACUUCUUAUAUC